UGGGUCGGUGAGGCGGUCGCGUCACGGCAUCGCGCAAGCGGUGGAUGUGCCGAGGAACGUCCGGGCUCCGCAGGGGAGAACGGUGGGUAACACCCACCCGGGGUAACCCGCGAGAAAGUGCAACAGAGAGUAGACCGCCAGGCACGGCUUUCCGAGUCUGGUAAGGCUGAAAGGGUGGUGUAAGAGACCACCGGCGUUCGUGGCAACACGGGCGGCCAGGUAAACCUCGUUCGGAGCAAGGCCAGACAGAAGAUGAUGACGCUCCCCGCCGAGUCUUCGGGUAGGCCGCUAGAGGGUACUGGUAACAGUGCCACGAGAGAGAUGACCGUCACCGCUGGCUUUCGGGCCAGCGCGACAGAACCCGGCGUAUGAUCCGGCCCAUUCC
This 385-nucleotide RNase P RNA is filed under the name Leucobacter coleopterorum. RNAcentral's name for it is "Leucobacter sp. HDW9A RNase P RNA component class A". It matches the Rfam family "Bacterial RNase P class A". From Rfam's summary of the family: Ribonuclease P (RNase P) is a ubiquitous endoribonuclease, found in archaea, bacteria and eukarya as well as chloroplasts and mitochondria. Lineage: Bacteria; Bacillati; Actinomycetota; Actinomycetes; Micrococcales; Microbacteriaceae. The record is from RNAcentral.